AAGAAAGAAAGACCUAACCUGGGAGGUUGCUAACCCCCCAAACCUGCGGUUAAACUCCGCGGCUUACUUA
Molecule: transfer RNA, 70 nt
Filed under: Ophichthus rotundus
Lineage: Eukaryota; Metazoa; Chordata; Actinopteri; Anguilliformes; Ophichthidae
Description: tRNA-Ser
Source: RNAcentral